This 663-nucleotide ribosomal RNA is filed under the name Geobacillus thermoleovorans. RNAcentral describes it as "bacterial SSU rRNA". It matches the Rfam family "Bacterial small subunit ribosomal RNA", at positions 848 to 1506 of the family's 1533-position model. The record is from RNAcentral. Lineage: Bacteria; Bacillati; Bacillota; Bacilli; Caryophanales; Anoxybacillaceae.
GCAGCUAACGCGAUAAGCACUCCGCCUGGGGAGUACGGCCGCAAGGGUGAAACUCAAAGGAAUUGACGGGGGCCCGCACAAGCGGUGGAGCAUGUGGUUUAAUUUGAAGCAACGCGAAGAACCUUACCAGGUCUUGACAUCCCCUGACAACCCAAGAGAUUGGGCGUUCCCCCUUUGGGGGGACAGGGUGACAGGUGGUGCAUGGUUGUCGUCAGCUCGUGUCGUGAGAUGUUGGGUUAAGUCCCGCAACGAGCGCAACCCUCGCCUCUAGUUGCCAGCACGAAGGUGGGCACUCUAGAGGGACUGCCGGCGACAAGUCGGAGGAAGGUGGGGAUGACGUCAAAUCAUCAUGCCCCUUAUGACCUGGGCUACACACGUGCUACAAUGGGCGGUACAAAGGGCUGCGAACCCGCGAGGGGGAGCGAAUCCCAAAAAGCCGCUCUCAGUUCGGAUUGCAGGCUGCAACUCGCCUGCAUGAAGCCGGAAUCGCUAGUAAUCGCGGAUCAGCAUGCCGCGGUGAAUACGUUCCCGGGCCUUGUACACACCGCCCGUCACACCACGAGAGCUUGCAACACCCGAAGUCGGUGAGGUAACCCUUACGGGAGCCAGCCGCCGAAGGUGGGGCAAGUGAUUGGGGUGAAGUCGUAACAAGGUAGCCGUACC